This 231-nucleotide ribosomal RNA is filed under the name Triticum aestivum (bread wheat). RNAcentral's name for it is "partial small subunit ribosomal RNA". Lineage: Eukaryota; Viridiplantae; Streptophyta; Magnoliopsida; Poales; Poaceae. The record is from RNAcentral.
UAUCUGAACGUCGGCAGGCAUUCCGGAAUUCUCCUUUUUUGGCCCCGGGUGAACAUAGGCUCAAACAUGAUUGGAGGGGUCCUAGCUACGCCAUGCGUUCAAUAAAAAAAAAGCAAGCCUCUGGGAAGCUGCAGGGAUUACAAAAAGAGGGUGCUUUCCUGUGUUGCACUGAAAAAAGGACAAAGGAGAAGACGCUCUUCGACUUUCUUUCUUCCUCCCGCGCCCGCCUAA